GCGUGCAUUGAAGCUCACCGUCAUGGAAGUAACGUCGGGACAACGGCAGUGUUCACCUCAUACCCAAAGCCUUAGUGAUGAAACGAGAGGAGAAAUCAUACCGAGGCAGAUGGAUAUACCCGUGUUUUUCUCUCAACACUGUGCCAGAUGCUUCGUGGUAUAUAUUUCUCUUUUAUCCUUUUUUUUAACUCAUCACAGUGAACAUGUCUCCUCUGAAUAGUGCCGAUACGUAGGUUUGAACUAUUUGGAACUAUUUUUCGCUCCCCUUGUGGUGGGACUAAAAUUAAUUUCAGCGUUUACAGGGAAUGAUUGACAUUUCAGUAGCGAAGUGGUAGGACGAGGUACGCGAACUCAUUGCUGAGAUUUAAAAACUAAUUGAAUGGAAAUUCUGGCCGGCUGCCCUAAGUGAGGUUGAGGAAUUGAUUCGGUUUAGUCGAGCUCAGCUGAUCAGGUCGGUCCUCAUCAGAAAUUGAUCAGGUUUUGAUGCAGUAAAUUUGCUCAGGAGAAUCUGAUGGAGUGGAGUUAAACUCAGUCUGAGGUCAGGCAGCCUGAAGUCAUUCUGAUCCAAAUUUAGUCUUAUCUUACUAAAUUUUUCAAACGAUCUAUUUCGGAAUUGUAUGAUAUCACAGCACAAUUGCUAUUCAAUUUAAUUAAGUUUUCAUUCUGUCUAAUCAUUCAUGGAAAAUGUUUUUGUAAAUAUGAAGUUGACUUAUUACAAUAAAAUUGUCCUAUGAAAGUG
Molecule: long non-coding RNA, 739 nt
Organism: Diachasmimorpha longicaudata
Lineage: Eukaryota; Metazoa; Arthropoda; Insecta; Hymenoptera; Braconidae
Exons: 3
Source: RefSeq, a predicted model, not a curated record